This is a long non-coding RNA of Nylanderia fulva, 1671 nucleotides long. RefSeq lists it as uncharacterized. The record is from RefSeq and is a predicted model, not a curated record. NCBI's taxonomy places the organism in Eukaryota, Metazoa, Arthropoda, Insecta, Hymenoptera, Formicidae.
ACUCGUCCUGUCGCGCGCAUAUAACCUCUAAAAAUUGAUCUCUACAUUGAAAUCAAAGAUGACACAUAAUUAUCGAGACAUUAAUUUACAAAACUUCCUGCCAGUUUAAGUUAAGCGUCUCGUUAUCGAUGUAAAAUUUUCCUUCCCCGAUUCUCACGUAAAAAUCAUGAAAACUCGCUCGACCCGAUGUAGGUCAAUUAGGUGCAACUCGCGCGUUCGGUGAAAGCGGAGAGAAAAAAAGGACACGAGAAAGUGCAAGAAGUAUUGAAAACAAAUAUAAAUAAAUAAAUGAAAAAGGAGUCGAUCUAACUCCAACUCGGACAAACCUCGCUACCGAUCCGGCGAAGAUCGCACCGUCACCAUCAACGAUGCACGACGUGAUGGCAACUAACAUGCUUCGGCGUGAGCCGCGAUGUAAUAUAUGUCCUACGGGCGCGCGGGAAUCGAUAGGGAACGUUUGAAGGACGUUUGACGCGCGGCCUGUCACACCGCGCCGGAGCCCGCCAAUCGCCACGUCGCCCGCGUAGAAAAUCACUAGACGCCCGAGACGAAGCGCAAGCUUAGAUCCCUUAUCUAUUUUCCCGCGCGCGAGUAUAUAGUUAAUGCUCGACGAGAUUAGGAGGAGGCGAAGCAUCGAUUUCGCACACGCGAAUCGCUUGCUUUUUUUAUCCUUUUAUUCGGAGAAGGAAAGAAAAUAUAGACAAAUGUUGUAAUUUUUUGAAAGAUGGAUGAAAAUUUCGAAGAGCGGUAUAAUUUUUAAUUCAUGAUGAUUGCAAGAGGAAAGAUCGCACUUAUAAGAGAGAAGAAUAAUGUUUUAUAAAUUAUUUGCCUGACACAGAUAAAGAAUGAAAAAUUCAUUCGAGAAAAUGUGUUUACAUCAGAUGUAUAAAAUCGUUAAUUUCGCGAUGCCUCCUAUAAAUACCGCGCUCUUCUCCAAUAAAGAUCGAAUUACGUCAAUCCGAAAAUCGUGGUAAGGGAAGUGGAAUAAUAUGUGCGCACGCUUAAUAAUGGCAAUUAGACAGUUCGAUUAAACAUAUUGUAUCGUUAGGGGCAACAACGUUUUGUUGAUGAACCGACCUUGCGAUCGACGUCGUGCAUUGCAGCAAUAUCUCAUCGUCUGUCUUAAGGAGAAUAAAAAAAAAGCUUUCCUACCUCGGUCGAAGUUCGUCUGCAGAAAGUAAAAGAUAAUUGCUGCAUAUAACGCGAAAUUUUACUUGACGAAUCAUCUCGUUCUCACAACGGGAAGUCGGGGGGCCUCGAGACUUACUGACACUGACAUAAUAAAUGUUUUCGUAAUAUAUCGCAAUGUUGAUAAUUGCAGUAUUUACAUUAUAAACGAGUUUAUACUUUACUCGUUAUAAAUAUUAAUCAAAAGUGUUUUAUUUUUAUUUCAUCAGAAUUAUAUAUGGAUUAGAGAAUAUCUACGAAUCUUUCUCCGCAGUGUUUUUUUUUAUUUUGUUUCACGAAAAGCUCCCUACUUUGAUAUUAUAUAUAUUUGAUAAUUAAAUCAUUUCAGUCAUUUCCUCAUAAAUUCAUAGAAUUCUAAUUUAAAAAUUCUUUACAGUUUUAUCUCAUAUAUAUAAGUAUGAUAUUUAUUCUUCUUCUAUUAUUAGAGAAUUAAUUUAGCGAUUUUUGUCCAGCAAUUCUCUAAAUAAAUUUUCUUUCUAUGUA